UACACCCUACGGGACGCAGCAGUGAGGAAUAUUGGUCAAUGGGCGAGAGCCUGAACCAGCCAAGUCGCGUGAAGGAUGACGGCCCUAUGGGUUGUAAACUUCUUUUGUCAGGGAGCAAUUGAGUCCACGUGUGGGCCUAGCAAGAGUACCUGAAGAAAAAGCAUCGGCUAACUCCGUGCCAGCAGCCGCGGUAAUACGGAGGAUGCGAGCGUUAUCCGGAUUUAUUGGGUUUAAAGGGUGCGUAGGCGGAAUAUCAAGUCAGCGGUAAAAAUUCGGGGCUCAACCCAGUCGCGCCGUUGAAACUG
Molecule: ribosomal RNA, 305 nt
Filed under: uncultured bacterium
Lineage: Bacteria
Description: bacterial SSU rRNA
Rfam family: Bacterial small subunit ribosomal RNA
Source: RNAcentral